UUUGUAUUCCCAGCCAUUAAAUCAGUGUCUACAAGAUGAUAGACUAGAUUGGCAAAUUUUGAAUAAAUUACUAAUAAUCAAGUUGGAGGUAGGGUGGAAGUGUCUAAAAGACCAGCUAAUAACAAUGGCAAGUGGUUUACAUAGAGCCUGAAGGAGGCUUAGAGAUGGUAAGAAAAGAUAGAUGCAGAACUAAAAAGAAGAAAAUGAUGAAAAUCUUUGAGCUGCAGUAUCUAAUUUGUUGUUUUGCUUAUUUGAAAUAGGAUCUCAAUAUGUAGCCUUGGCUAAUCUGGUACUCUGUAAUUUAGGGUGACAUUGAGCUCAAAAUAUUCCUCCUGACUCAGCCUUCUGAGUGGUAAGAUUACGAAUAUAUACCACUGUGCCUGUCUCUGAAGUAUCUACUUUUAUAAAAGGAAAACUUCUUUGUCUAAUGAAAGCUAAAAAUUAUUAGCAGUAUGUGGAAGGAAGUUAAUUUACCAAAAGAGACUUAUGAAAUAGAUUGGUUUUGUAUGGAUAACUAACACAGAUAGUACAGUAGUUUGAUGGUUCCUUCUUUUUUGUUUUUUUGGGUUUUUUUUGUUUUUUUUUUUGUUUUGUUUUUUUUUCUUCGAGACAGGGUUUCUCUGUGUAGCCCUGGCUGUCCUGGAACUCACUCUGUAGACCAGGCUGGCCUCGAACUCAGAAAUCUGCCUGCCUCUGCCUCCCAAGCGCUGGGAUUAAAGGCGUGCUGUGCCACCACGUCCGGCUGAUUUUUCCUUCUUUCUGACUUUUCCAGUCACUAGAUACUAAAUAAUUGACAACUAAAUGACCAAUAAUUAGGAACUGCAUAGCUGGUAGAGGGCUGGGUGUUAGUUACUAAAGGCUUGUGAAUUGACCUUUGAGAGAGUUUUACAAUUAGUGUAGGCUGUUGAUCUGAAAUUGUUUUGUUAGUAGUGGUAUGUAUAUAUGAAAUUAAGCAGUCAAUUUUUAAAGGGCUCAAGUAGAACUUUUGUUUUUGUAGGAUAUUUUAAAAGUUGACUUUAUUGAAAACUCAAUCUUGGCUCAGUGUGGUGGCACAUGCCUUUAAUCCCAGAACUCAGGAGGCAGAGCCAGACAGAUCUCUCUAAGGCCAGCCUGGUCUACAUACUGAGUUCUAGGACAGCCAGGGCUACAUAGAGAAAACUUAACUCAGAAGACAAAGACAAAGUUAACAAAAACCCAAGAAAACCUAAUCUUGGGCCAUUCUUAGCCCUAACU
This 1233-nucleotide long non-coding RNA is filed under the name Mus musculus (house mouse). RNAcentral describes it as "long non-coding RNA chr3:96125712-96126945". The record is from RNAcentral. Lineage: Eukaryota; Metazoa; Chordata; Mammalia; Rodentia; Muridae.